CCCGCCGAGUUGCAUUGUAUUUAUGUGAUCUCGUCUGAUCUCGGAAGCUAAGCAGGGUCGGGCCUGGUUAGUACUUGGAUGGGAGAGUUGCAUUGUAUUUCUUAAUGGGAAUAACUACAAACCAGGUAUGGGA
This 133-nucleotide ribosomal RNA is filed under the name Colobus angolensis palliatus. Lineage: Eukaryota; Metazoa; Chordata; Mammalia; Primates; Cercopithecidae. The record is from RNAcentral.